Molecule: ribosomal RNA, 1286 nt
Filed under: metagenome
Description: bacterial SSU rRNA
Rfam family: Bacterial small subunit ribosomal RNA
Source: RNAcentral
UAGCUAGUUGGUGAGGUAAAGGCUUACCAAGGCGACGAUCUGUAGCGGGUCUGAGAGGAUGAUCCGCCACACUGGAACUGAGACACGGUCCAGACUCCUACGGGAGGCAGCAGUGGGGAAUUUUGGACAAUGGGGGCAACCCUGAUCCAGCCAUGCCGCGUGAGUGAAGAAGGCCUUCGGGUUGUAAAGCUCUUUCGGCCGGGAAGAAAUCGCAUGGGCCAAUACCCUGUGUGGAUGACGGUACCGGAAUAAGAAGCACCGGCUAACUACGUGCCAGCAGCCGCGGUAAUACGUAGGGCGCGAGCGUUAAUCGGAAUUACUGGGCGUAAAGCGUGCGCAGGCGGUUUUGUAAGACAGGCGUGAAAUCCCCGGGCUUAACCUGGGAACUGCGUUUGUGACUGCAAGGCUAGAGUACGGCAGAGGGGGGUGGAAUUCCACGUGUAGCAGUGAAAUGCGUAGAGAUGUGGAGGAACACCAAUGGCGAAGGCAGCCCCCUGGGUCGAUACUGACGCUCAUGCACGAAAGCGUGGGUAGCAAACAGGAUUAGAUACCCUGGUAGUCCACGCCCUAAACUAUGUCAACUAGGUGUUGGGUGGGUAAACCAUUUAGUACCGUAGCUAACGCGUGAAGUUGACCGCCUGGGGAGUACGGCCGCAAGGUUAAAACUCAAAGGAAUUGACGGGGACCCGCACAAGCGGUGGAUGAUGUGGAUUAAUUCGAUGCAACGCGAAAAACCUUACCUACCCUUGACAUGCCAGGAACUUGCCAGAGAUGGCUUGGUGCCCGAAAGGGAGCCUGGACACAGGUGCUGCAUGGCUGUCGUCAGCUCGUGUCGUGAGAUGUUGGGUUAAGUCCCGCAACGAGCGCAACCCUUGUCGUUAAUUGCCAUCAUUUGGUUGGGCACUUUAACGAGACUGCCGGUGACAAACCGGAGGAAGGUGGGGAUGACGUCAAGUCCUCAUGGCCCUUAUGGGUAGGGCUUCACACGUCAUACAAUGGUCGGUACAAAGGGUUGCCAAGCCGCGAGGCGGAGCCAAUCCCAGAAAGCCGAUCGUAGUCCGGAUUGCAGGCUGCAACUCGCCUGCAUGAAGUCGGAAUCGCUAGUAAUCGUGGAUCAGCAUGUUACGGUGAAUACGUUCCCGGGUCUUGUACACACCGCCCGUCACACCAUGGGAGCGGGCUCCGCCAGAAGUAGGUAGCCUAACCGCAAGGGGGGCGCUUACCACGGCGGGGUUCGUGACUGGGGUGAAGUCGAAACAAGGUAGCCGUAGGGGAACCUGCGGCUG